CUGUCCAGGUAGCUCUCAAAACCAGUAUCGCUAAGAAUGGUGUCAUUUUCAGAUACUGAUGAUUUCCCCCUUAGUCUCAUGAGGAACAAGUGUGAAGCAAUACUUGAUGAGCACUUAAAACAUUCAUACUUAACAAGGUCUUAAGUAUGUAUAGAGAAAAGAGCUUUCCCAGAGAUAAGCAGGUAGGAACAAUGAGGGAAUAGAAGAGACCCAAACAGCUUAAGACUGUAACAAUUAGGUCCUCAAAUCUCUUUCUAGCAAACAUCAUUCUCAUGCCACCCAAUUUGAAGAGCAAUAGGAAGAUGUUCAGAUUCAAUGCAGACAUCAGAAUCUAAACCCCAGGAGUUUCCUUUUGAACAUCAUUUGGGGGCAGGGGAUGCAGAAAAGCCUAAAUUAGUAAACUCACAGUAAUUGUGAUUUUUUUUUAAUACAAUGAGUUUAUAAUUCUUAAAUCGGGAGGUAGGUGCAUGAGCAUUUGU
Molecule: long non-coding RNA, 479 nt
Filed under: Bos taurus (domestic cattle)
Lineage: Eukaryota; Metazoa; Chordata; Mammalia; Artiodactyla; Bovidae
Description: long non-coding RNA NONBTAT002865
Source: RNAcentral